AGCGAGCCUGUCAAGUUCAACUUGACCAAAAAACGGUAAAAUUGCCGGAACUACCGGUUUACCGGAAUCUGG
This is a long non-coding RNA of Bradysia coprophila, 72 nucleotides long. The record is from RefSeq and is a predicted model, not a curated record. NCBI's taxonomy places the organism in Eukaryota, Metazoa, Arthropoda, Insecta, Diptera, Sciaridae.